This 86-nucleotide transfer RNA is filed under the name Bacillota bacterium. Its description in RNAcentral is "Firmicutes bacterium (anaerobic digester metagenome) tRNA-Leu". It matches the Rfam family "tRNA". From Rfam's summary of the family: Transfer RNA (tRNA) molecules are approximately 80 nucleotides in length. Their secondary structure includes four short double-helical elements and three loops (D, anti-codon, and T loops). Further hydrogen bonds mediate the characteristic L-shaped molecular structure. tRNAs have two regions of fundamental functional importance: the anti-codon, which is responsible for specific mRNA codon recognition, and the 3' end, to which the tRNAs corresponding amino acid is attached (by aminoacyl-tRNA synthetases). tRNAs cope with the degeneracy of the genetic code in two manners: having more than one tRNA (with a specific anti-codon) for a particular amino acid; and 'wobble' base-pairing, i.e. permitting non-standard base-pairing at the 3rd anti-codon position. The record is from RNAcentral. Lineage: Bacteria; Bacillati; Bacillota.
GCCGAAGUGGCGGAAUGGCAGACGCACUUGACUCAAAAUCAAGCGGGUUUCGACCUGUGUGGGUUCGAGUCCCACCUUCGGCACCA